This 425-nucleotide ribosomal RNA is filed under the name Conus rattus. RNAcentral describes it as "partial 16S ribosomal RNA". It matches the Rfam family "Bacterial large subunit ribosomal RNA", at positions 1931 to 2568 of the family's 2925-position model. The record is from RNAcentral. Lineage: Eukaryota; Metazoa; Mollusca; Gastropoda; Neogastropoda; Conidae.
CCGCGGUACUCUGACCGUGCAAAGGUAGCAUAAUCAUUUGCCUUAUAAUUGAAGGCUGGAAUGAAUGGUUUGACAAGAAUACAUCUGUCUCUUUAUGAUUAUUUAGAAUUUUAUUUUUAGAUGAAAAAGUCUAGAUGAUAUUAAAAGACAAGAAGACCCUAUCGAGCUUUAAAAAAAUUAGCAGGCAUACUAGAAUUCAAUAUCAGUAAAAGAAAGGCUGUUAAAUAUUUUGGUUGGGGCAACCUAGGAGUAAGUAAAGCCUCCUAAUUAUAGUAAGUCGGACUUGUGUUGAUCCAGGUAUAAUGAUCAAAGGAAUUAGUUACCGUAGGGAUAACAGCAUUAUCUUUUUUGAGAGCCCAUAUCGAAAAAAAGGUUUGUGACCUCGAUGUUGGACCAGAAUGUCCUAAAGAUGCAGAAGUCUUUGA